ACUCCUACGGGAGGCAGCAGUGAGGAAUAUUGCGCGAUGGGGGAAACCCUGACGCAGCGACGCCGCGUGGAUGAUGAGGGCCUUUGGGUCGUAAAAUCCUGUCAGAUGGAAAGAAAUGUACAUGUGCUAAUAUCACUUGUAUUUGACGGUACCAUCAAAGGAAGCACCGGCUAACUCCGUGCCAGCAGCCGCGGUAAUACGGAGGGUGCAAGCGUUGUUCGGAAUUACUGGGCGUAAAGCGCGCGUAGGUGGUUGUAUAAGUCAGAUGUGAAAGUCCACGGCUCAACCGUGGAAGUGCAUUUGAAACUGUAUAACUUGAGUAUUGGAGGGGGUAGUGGAAUUCCCGGUGUAGAGGUGAAAUUCGUAGAUAUCGGGAGGAAUACCGGUGGCGAAGGCGACUACCUGGCCAAAUACUGACACUGAGGUGCGAAAGCNGUGGGGAGCAAACAGGAUUAGAUACCCUGGUAGUC
Molecule: ribosomal RNA, 470 nt
Filed under: uncultured bacterium
Lineage: Bacteria
Description: bacterial SSU rRNA
Rfam family: Bacterial small subunit ribosomal RNA
Source: RNAcentral